AUGGGAUUUGCGGUGAUACAAAAUUUUGGCACCUCCACCCGGUGGCCUGGCUACCUGCUACACCGAUUCACCCUUUACUUGGGUAUUGUUUCCCCCAUUUGCAAAAUGCUGCCUAAGGAUACUUUUGAUAAUCUCCAAGCCAAGGUUCAAAUGUGUUUCGUUAGGAUAAUAGCUAUGAGUGCAGGAAAACCGACUUUAUUUGCUCCAGGAAUAGUUAUUGCGAAGAAGAAGCUAUCAUGCUACGUCAUAACAGACAAGGGGACAUUUUGUUAUGGUUCUGAAGGGCUCUAUGCUGCUGUUUUUCCUGGCUUGAACAUGGAGAGUGUGGCGAUUAACUUUACCGAUGUAUCAAUUGCUGAUAGUUUUGCCUCUUUCAUGCUAAGCAAACCAAAAUGCACUAAUCCAUUAGCUGCUGUGAAAAUCUGUGAAUCUGGACCGUUGAUUAAUGAGGAUGUUUACACCUUGGGAUAUCAGAAUCCAAAAGUACCUUUUAUCUCCUGGAUCGGUCCGGUGAGCUAAAAUCCUUAUU
This 529-nucleotide long non-coding RNA is filed under the name Oryza sativa Indica Group (long-grained rice). RNAcentral's name for it is "lncRNA OsZS97_02G030630". Lineage: Eukaryota; Viridiplantae; Streptophyta; Magnoliopsida; Poales; Poaceae. The record is from RNAcentral.